Molecule: ribosomal RNA, 445 nt
Filed under: uncultured bacterium
Lineage: Bacteria
Description: partial 16S ribosomal RNA
Rfam family: Bacterial small subunit ribosomal RNA
Source: RNAcentral
GUGAGGAAUAUUGGUCAAUGGGCGAGAGCCUGAACCAGCCAAGUCGCGUGAAGGAAGAAGGAUCUAUGGUUCGUAAACUUCUUUUGCAGGGGAAUAAAGUGCAGGACGUGUCCUGUUUUGUAUGUACCCUGAGAAUAAGGAUCGGCUAACUCCGUGCCAGCAGCCGCGGUAAUACGGAGGAUCCGAGCGUUAUCCGGAUUUAUUGGGUUUAAAGGGUGCGUAGGUGGUUUGAUAAGUCAGUGGUGAAAGUUUGCAGCUUAACUGUAAAAAUGCCGUUGAAACUGUCGGACUUGAGUGUAAAUGAGGUAGGCGGAAUGCGUGGUGUAGCGGUGAAAUGCAUAGAUAUCACGCAGAACUCCGAUUGCGAAGGCAGCUUACUAAGCUACAACUGACACUGAAGCACGAAAGCGUGGGGAUCAAACAGGAUUAGAAACCCCUGUAGUCC